This 285-nucleotide unclassified non-coding RNA is filed under the name Hevea brasiliensis (rubber tree). The record is from RNAcentral. Lineage: Eukaryota; Viridiplantae; Streptophyta; Magnoliopsida; Malpighiales; Euphorbiaceae.
CUUGCUAGCGAGAAAUGGCUCACUGAACAGAUUUUUGGAGGGCUUGGAACAGUUAAUCUGGUUUGUUUCGCUGAGGCUUCAAAGGCUUCAAUGAUGCAGCUAUUAAAUUUUGGUGAAGCCGUAUCUAUUGGCCCACACAAACCAGAGAAGUUGUUUCCUAUUCUUGAUAUGUAUGAGAUUCUUGCAGAUCUUCUUCAAGAUAUAGAUUCUCUAUACUCAGAUGAGGCCGGUUCUUGUGUUAGAACUGACUGUCGCGAGGUUCUAAGGAGAUUAGGGGACUCCGCG